AGUGAACGCUGGCGGUAGGCCUAACACAUGCAAGUCGAACGGCAGCACAGUAAGAGCUUGCUCUUACGGGUGGCGAGUGGCGGACGGGUGAGGAAUACAUCGGAAUCUACUUUUUCGGGGGGGAUAACGUAGGGAAACUUACGCUAAUACCGCAUACGACCUACGGGUGAAAGCAGGGGAUCUUCGGACCUUGCGCGAUUGAAUGAGCCGAUGUCGGAUUAGCUAGUUGGGGGGGUAAAGGCCCACCAAGGCGACGAUCCGUAGCUGGUCUGAGAGGAUGAUCAGCCACACUGGAACUGAGACACGGUCCAGACUCCUACGGGAGGCAGCAGUGGGGAAUAUUGGACAAUGGGCGCAAGCCUGAUCCAGCCAUACCGCGUGGGUGAAGAAGGCCUUCGGGUUGUAAAGCACUUUUGUUGGGGAAGAAAAGCAGCAGGUUAAUACCCCGCUGUUCUGACGGUACCCAAAGAAUAAGCACCGGCUAACUUCGUG
Molecule: ribosomal RNA, 492 nt
Filed under: uncultured bacterium
Lineage: Bacteria
Description: partial 16S ribosomal RNA
Rfam family: Bacterial small subunit ribosomal RNA
Source: RNAcentral